GUGGUUUGGGUUUAUGUGACAUGAUAUGCUAGCUUGAAAAAUGGCUGUCUGAUUUUUUCUGGCUGGGCACUCUGCUGACAUAAUCUAAUGUUUUGCUUUCGUUGUAAAGCCUUUUUGAAAUCGGACAGUGGGGUUAGAUUAACGAGAUUCUUGUCUUUAAAUAGCUGUAAAAUAGUCAUAUGUUUGAGAAAUUGAAGUAAUAGUAUUUCUAACGAUUCAAAAAUCGCGCCACUGGAAUAUCAGUAGCUGUUACGUAGGUGGGACGAAAUCGUCCCACAUACCCCAGACAGGUUAAAGGACAAUAUAUAGGUCUGCUGCUUUAAGGACAAAAUGUAGGUCUGCUGUUUUAAUAAAGACAAUAUGUAGGUCUGCUGUUUUAAUAAAGACAAUAUGUAGGUCUGCUGCUUUAAGGACAAUAUGUAGAUCUGAUGCUUUAAGGACAAUAUGUAGGUCUGCUGCUUUAAGGACAAUAUGUAGGUCUGCUGCUUUAAGGACAAUAUGUAGAUCUGCUGCUUUAAGGACAAUAUGUAGGUCUGCUGCUUUAAGGACAAUAUGUAGGUCUGCUGUUUUAAUAAAGACAAUAUGUAGAUCUGCUGCUUUAAGGACAAUAUGUAGGUCUGCUGCUUUAAGGACAAUAUGUAGAUCUGCUGUUUUAAUAAAGACAAUAUGUAGAUCUGCUGUUUUAAUAAGGACAAUAUGUAGAUCUGAUGCUAUAAGGAAAAUAUGUAGGUCUGCUGUUUUAAUAAGGACAAUAUGUAGGUCUGCUGCUAUAAGGACAAUAUGUAGGUCUGCUGUUUUAAUAAGGACAAUAUGUAGGUCUGCUGUUUUAAUAAGGACAAUAUGUAGGUCUGCUGUUUUAAUAAGGACAAUAUGUAGGUCUGCUGUUUUAAUAAAGACCAAUAUGUAGGUCUGCUGCUUUAAAGACAAUAUGUAGGUCUGCUGCUUUAAGGACAAUAUGUAGGUCUGCUGCUUUAAGGACAAUAUGUAGAUCUGCUGUUUUAAUAAAGACAAUAUGUAGAUCUGCUGUUUUAAUAAGGACAAUAUGUAGAUCUGAUGCUUUAAGGACAAUAUGUAGGUCUGCUGUUUUAAUAAGGACAAUAUGUAGGUCUGCUGCUUUAAGGACAAUAUGUAGGUCUGCUGUUUUAAUAAGGACAAUAUGUAGGUCUGCUGCUUUAAAGACAAUAUGUAGGUCUGCUGCUUUAAGGACAAUAUGUAGGUCUGCUGCUUUAAGGACAAUAUGUAGAUCUGCUGUUUUAAUAAA
Molecule: long non-coding RNA, 1261 nt
Filed under: Salmo trutta (river trout)
Lineage: Eukaryota; Metazoa; Chordata; Actinopteri; Salmoniformes; Salmonidae
Description: lncRNA (ENSSTUG00000014166.1)
Source: RNAcentral